RNAcentral lists this non-coding RNA (21 nucleotides) under Caenorhabditis elegans. The record is from RNAcentral. Lineage: Eukaryota; Metazoa; Nematoda; Chromadorea; Rhabditida; Rhabditidae.
UCCGCUCUGAUGUUCAUCUGG